UUUUGAUGGGUAAGCUAAAACCUCUUAGGUGU
This 32-nucleotide non-coding RNA is filed under the name Mus musculus (house mouse). Lineage: Eukaryota; Metazoa; Chordata; Mammalia; Rodentia; Muridae. The record is from RNAcentral.